RNAcentral lists this unclassified non-coding RNA (339 nucleotides) under uncultured fungus. Its description in RNAcentral is "sequence contains ITS1". The stretch from base 1 to 103 matches the Rfam family "5.8S ribosomal RNA", at positions 50 to 154 of the family's 154-position model. Lineage: Eukaryota; Fungi. The record is from RNAcentral.
GAAAUGCGAUAAGCAAUGCGAAUUGCAGAACCGUGAGUCAUCAGAUUUUUGAACGCAACUGGCGCUGGCUGGGUCUCCAGCCAGCAUGCUUGUUUCAGUGUCUUGUUUUCUCCUCACUCAUAACUUAAUGCGCGAGAUACCCUUCUCUUGUUAAGCAUGAAAGCACACUGCUCCUGCGAGCGACUUUUGACUAGCUCAAGAGUCGCACACAAUGCAGACGUCACAUUGCUCACAAUCUGAACUCAUUGAGAGCAGGAGCAGGCAGCUCACGCUGUCAGUGCUUAGUCACUUAAACUUUAUUAGCGUCUGAAAUCAAGCAGGACCACCCGCUGAACUUAA